Molecule: ribosomal RNA, 424 nt
Filed under: Acidobacteriota bacterium
Lineage: Bacteria; Pseudomonadati; Acidobacteriota
Description: Acidobacteria bacterium partial 16S ribosomal RNA
Rfam family: Bacterial small subunit ribosomal RNA
Source: RNAcentral
UGAGGAAUAUUGGUCAAUGGGCGCAGGCCUGAACCAGCCAAGUAGCGUGAAGGAUGACUGCCCUAUGGGUUGUAAACUUCUUUUAUAUGGGAAUAAAGUUUUCCACGUGUGGAAUUUUGUAUGUACCAUAUGAAUAAGGAUCGGCUAACUCCGUGCCAGCAGCCGCGGUAAUACGGAGGAUCCGAGCGUUAUCCGGAUUUAUUGGGUUUAAAGGGAGCGUAGGUGGACAGUUAAGUCAGUUGUGAAAGUUUGCGGCUCAACCGUAAAAUUGCAGUUGAUACUGGCUGUCUUAAGUACAGUAGAGGUGGGCGGAAUUCGUGGUGUAGCGGUGAAAUGCUUAGAUAUCACGAAGAACUCCGAUUGCGAAGGCAGCUCACUGGACUGCAACUGACACUGAUGCUCGAAAGUGUGGGUAUCAAACAGG